RNAcentral lists this ribosomal RNA (2903 nucleotides) under Escherichia coli. Its description in RNAcentral is "23S ribosomal RNA". It matches the Rfam family "Bacterial large subunit ribosomal RNA". Lineage: Bacteria; Pseudomonadati; Pseudomonadota; Gammaproteobacteria; Enterobacterales; Enterobacteriaceae. The record is from RNAcentral.
GGUUAAGCGACUAAGCGUACACGGUGGAUGCCCUGGCAGUCAGAGGCGAUGAAGGACGUGCUAAUCUGCGAUAAGCGUCGGUAAGGUGAUAUGAACCGUUAUAACCGGCGAUUUCCGAAUGGGGAAACCCAGUGUGUUUCGACACACUAUCAUUAACUGAAUCCAUAGGUUAAUGAGGCGAACCGGGGGAACUGAAACAUCUAAGUACCCCGAGGAAAAGAAAUCAACCGAGAUUCCCCCAGUAGCGGCGAGCGAACGGGGAGCAGCCCAGAGCCUGAAUCAGUAUGUGUGUUAGUGGAAGCGUCUGGAAAGGCGCGCGAUACAGGGUGACAGCCCCGUACACAAAAAUGCACAUAUUGUGAGCUCGAUGAGUAGGGCGGGACACGUGGUAUCCUGUCUGAAUAUGGGGGGACCAUCCUCCAAGGCUAAAUACUCCUGACUGACCGAUAGUGAACCAGUACCGUGAGGGAAAGGCGAAAAGAACCCCGGCGAGGGGAGUGAAAAAGAACCUGAAACCGUGUACGUACAAGCAGUGGGAGCACGCUUAGGCGUGUGACUGCGUACCUUUUGUAUAAUGGGUCAGCGACUUAUAUUCUGUAGCAAGGUUAACCGAAUAGGGGAGCCGAAGGGAAACCGAGUCUUAACUGGGCGUUAAGUUGCAGGGUAUAGACCCGAAACCCGGUGAUCUAGCCAUGGGCAGGUUGAAGGUUGGGUAACACUAACUGGAGGACCGAACCGACUAAUGUUGAAAAAUUAGCGGAUGACUUGUGGCUGGGGGUGAAAGGCCAAUCAAACCGGGAGAUAGCUGGUUCUCCCCGAAAGCUAUUUAGGUAGCGCCUCGUGAAUUCAUCUCCGGGGGUAGAGCACUGUUUCGGCAAGGGGGUCAUCCCGACUUACCAACCCGAUGCAAACUGCGAAUACCGGAGAAUGUUAUCACGGGAGACACACGGCGGGUGCUAACGUCCGUCGUGAAGAGGGAAACAACCCAGACCGCCAGCUAAGGUCCCAAAGUCAUGGUUAAGUGGGAAACGAUGUGGGAAGGCCCAGACAGCCAGGAUGUUGGCUUAGAAGCAGCCAUCAUUUAAAGAAAGCGUAAUAGCUCACUGGUCGAGUCGGCCUGCGCGGAAGAUGUAACGGGGCUAAACCAUGCACCGAAGCUGCGGCAGCGACACUAUGUGUUGUUGGGUAGGGGAGCGUUCUGUAAGCCUGUGAAGGUGUGCUGUGAGGCAUGCUGGAGGUAUCAGAAGUGCGAAUGCUGACAUAAGUAACGAUAAAGCGGGUGAAAAGCCCGCUCGCCGGAAGACCAAGGGUUCCUGUCCAACGUUAAUCGGGGCAGGGUGAGUCGACCCCUAAGGCGAGGCCGAAAGGCGUAGUCGAUGGGAAACAGGUUAAUAUUCCUGUACUUGGUGUUACUGCGAAGGGGGGACGGAGAAGGCUAUGUUGGCCGGGCGACGGUUGUCCCGGUUUAAGCGUGUAGGCUGGUUUUCCAGGCAAAUCCGGAAAAUCAAGGCUGAGGCGUGAUGACGAGGCACUACGGUGCUGAAGCAACAAAUGCCCUGCUUCCAGGAAAAGCCUCUAAGCAUCAGGUAACAUCAAAUCGUACCCCAAACCGACACAGGUGGUCAGGUAGAGAAUACCAAGGCGCUUGAGAGAACUCGGGUGAAGGAACUAGGCAAAAUGGUGCCGUAACUUCGGGAGAAGGCACGCUGAUAUGUAGGUGAAGCGACUUGCUCGUGGAGCUGAAAUCAGUCGAAGAUACCAGCUGGCUGCAACUGUUUAUUAAAAACACAGCACUGUGCAAACACGAAAGUGGACGUAUACGGUGUGACGCCUGCCCGGUGCCGGAAGGUUAAUUGAUGGGGUCAGCGCAAGCGAAGCUCUUGAUCGAAGCCCCGGUAAACGGCGGCCGUAACUAUAACGGUCCUAAGGUAGCGAAAUUCCUUGUCGGGUAAGUUCCGACCUGCACGAAUGGCGUAAUGAUGGCCAGGCUGUCUCCACCCGAGACUCAGUGAAAUUGAACUCGCUGUGAAGAUGCAGUGUACCCGCGGCAAGACGGAAAGACCCCGUGAACCUUUACUAUAGCUUGACACUGAACAUUGAGCCUUGAUGUGUAGGAUAGGUGGGAGGCUUUGAAGUGUGGACGCCAGUCUGCAUGGAGCCGACCUUGAAAUACCACCCUUUAAUGUUUGAUGUUCUAACGUUGACCCGUAAUCCGGGUUGCGGACAGUGUCUGGUGGGUAGUUUGACUGGGGCGGUCUCCUCCUAAAGAGUAACGGAGGAGCACGAAGGUUGGCUAAUCCUGGUCGGACAUCAGGAGGUUAGUGCAAUGGCAUAAGCCAGCUUGACUGCGAGCGUGACGGCGCGAGCAGGUGCGAAAGCAGGUCAUAGUGAUCCGGUGGUUCUGAAUGGAAGGGCCAUCGCUCAACGGAUAAAAGGUACUCCGGGGAUAACAGGCUGAUACCGCCCAAGAGUUCAUAUCGACGGCGGUGUUUGGCACCUCGAUGUCGGCUCAUCACAUCCUGGGGCUGAAGUAGGUCCCAAGGGUAUGGCUGUUCGCCAUUUAAAGUGGUACGCGAGCUGGGUUUAGAACGUCGUGAGACAGUUCGGUCCCUAUCUGCCGUGGGCGCUGGAGAACUGAGGGGGGCUGCUCCUAGUACGAGAGGACCGGAGUGGACGCAUCACUGGUGUUCGGGUUGUCAUGCCAAUGGCACUGCCCGGUAGCUAAAUGCGGAAGAGAUAAGUGCUGAAAGCAUCUAAGCACGAAACUUGCCCCGAGAUGAGUUCUCCCUGACUCCUUGAGAGUCCUGAAGGAACGUUGAAGACGACGACGUUGAUAGGCCGGGUGUGUAAGCGCAGCGAUGCGUUGAGCUAACCGGUACUAAUGAACCGUGAGGCUUAACCUU